Molecule: long non-coding RNA, 766 nt
Organism: Rosa chinensis
Lineage: Eukaryota; Viridiplantae; Streptophyta; Magnoliopsida; Rosales; Rosaceae
Exons: 3
Source: RefSeq, a predicted model, not a curated record
UCAUUUCCCAGAUCUACAUGCUCAAUUCUCUCGACUUCUCCUUGCUGUGAUUUUUUUAGUCAAAUUUUAAAUGAUUUUAACUGUUAUAUAACUUCUUUUACGGUAUUGACCAGGUUGGUAAAACUGGUGAUGGGUUUUUAGGCUUUUCUUUUUGUUAAUAAUUUGUUAAUUGGUGGAAUAUUAUCCAAUAGUUUUUUGAUUGUCGCUUUUUGGAUAAAAAUUAUACAGGAAAGAGCGCCCUACCAGGCCAAGGCAGAGAAGAGAAAGGUUGAAUGGAACAACAUGGAAGUUUAUAACAAGAAACAAGUAAUUGUGUGAUAGAGUAAAAGCUUGGUCCUUUAAUGUAUCUGAUAGCUGCAAAGGUUUUUGCGUUUGUAGUAGUCAUCUUCGCUUUUUCAUGGAAAGUGAUAGUUCGUGCUCUUGAAGAAAAUGCUAGAGCUUCCUACAAUUUGGACACUCCUUGAACUAUAGAGCCUUCUGAGAAAGAACCGAUUCAGGUAAAGUUGAAGUUGAAGCCUUUCCCAUCAUAUCUGCUUUCCGUAUUCUACAGUCUAUAUCAUUCCAGGGUUAUACACAGAAUUACAGAUUGAACUAAAAUAAGUUCAUGAACACACCAAGUUGAACAAGUUAGAGAUAAUUAAUCUGUGCCAUUCUGUACAUACUAGAACUGCCUAUUUUUGCUUAAGAUACUGAGACUAAGAGAAGGAAAUAAGGGAAUGAGCAUAGUUUGAUUCUGCACCUUUUUUUUUUUUUUUUUUUAAAUUUU